UAGAUCUGUUGAUGGAGAUCCCACCCGUGCCUCAAACGACCUCAGAUCAACUCCAGAUCUGAGAGUGACUUGUACCAAUCUCUUCUCAAGAGAUUUUAGGUCUUGGACCUGAUGUUUGGGCACCUGCAAGAGGGGGAGAGCAGAUCUGGUAGGCGGCUGCAAAGGGGAAGGGGCUAGCGCCUCCCUUCCUUUCUUUCCUUUUAUGGACUGGCGGUAAGAAACCCUAGGGUUUCUUGCUCCUGGUGCAUGGAAGAUUGCUGGAGAGAGAGGGAGAAG
Molecule: long non-coding RNA, 276 nt
Filed under: Elaeis guineensis (African oil palm)
Lineage: Eukaryota; Viridiplantae; Streptophyta; Magnoliopsida; Arecales; Arecaceae
Description: long non-coding RNA (EGUI_LNC078913)
Source: RNAcentral